Molecule: ribosomal RNA, 245 nt
Filed under: uncultured bacterium
Lineage: Bacteria
Description: partial 16S ribosomal RNA
Rfam family: Bacterial small subunit ribosomal RNA
Source: RNAcentral
GUGCAAGCGUUAUCCGGAUUUACUGGGUUUAAAGGGUGUGUAGGCGGACUUUUAAGUCAGCGGUGAAAUCUCCGGGCUCAACCCGGAAACUGCCAUUGAUACUAUUGGUCUUGAAUAUUGUUGAGGUGGGCGGAACGGGUCAUGUAGCGGUGAAAUGCAUAGAUAUGACCCGGAACACCGAUUGCGAAGGCAGCCCACUAAGCAAUGAUUGACGCUGAGGCACGAAAGCGUGGGGAUCAAACAGG